This 906-nucleotide ribosomal RNA is filed under the name uncultured archaeon. Its description in RNAcentral is "bacterial SSU rRNA". It matches the Rfam family "Archaeal small subunit ribosomal RNA", at positions 1 to 920 of the family's 1478-position model. The record is from RNAcentral.
UUCCGGUUGAUCCUGCCGGAAGUCACCGCUAUUGGGAUCCGAUUAAGCCAUGCGAGUCGAGAGGGUUCGGCCCUCGGCAGACGGCUCAGUAACACGUGGAUAAUCUGCCCUUAGGUGGAGGAUGACCUCGGGAAACUGAGAAUAAUACUCCAUAGAUUUAAGAGGCUGGAAUGCGCUUAAAUUGAAAGCUCCGACGCCUAAGGAUGAGUCUGCGGACUAUCAGGUAGUAGUCAGGGUAAGGACCUGACAAGCCUACGACGGAUACGGGUUGUGAGAGCAAUAACCCGGAGAUGAUAUCUGAGACACGAUAUCAGGCCCUACGGGGCGCAGCAGGCGCGAAACCUUCACAAUGUGCGAAAGCGCGAUGAGGGGAUCCCAAGUGCUUGCUCGUCAGAGUAAGCUGUUUUUUUGUUUAAAAAGCAAAGAGAGAAAGGGCUGGGUAAGACGGGUGCCAGCCGCCGCGGUAAUACCUGCAGCUCAAGUGGUGACCGCUAUUAUUGGGCCUAAAACAUCCGUAGCCGGCUGAGUAAAUGCUUGGGUAAAUCGCGUAGCUUAACUAUACGAAUUCCGAGUAGACUGCUCAGCUUGAGACCGGGAGAAGCUAGAGGUACUCCUGGGGUAGAGGUGAAAUUCUGUAAUCCUGGGGGGACCACCAGUGGCGAAGGCGUCUAGCUAGAACGGGUCUGACGGUGAGGGAUGAAACCCUGGGGCGCAAACCGGAUUAGAUACCCGGGUAGUCCAGGGCGCAAACGCUGCUUGCUUGAUGUUAGCUGGGCUCCGAGCUCAGCUAGUGUCGGAGAGAAGUUGUUAAGCAAGCUGCCUGGGAAGUACGAUCGCAGAUUGAAACUUAAAGGAAUUGGCGGGGAGCACAGCACGGGUGGAGCGUGCGUUAAUGGAAUCACGCGA